Molecule: long non-coding RNA, 974 nt
Filed under: Mus pahari (shrew mouse)
Lineage: Eukaryota; Metazoa; Chordata; Mammalia; Rodentia; Muridae
Description: lncRNA (MGP_PahariEiJ_G0003907.1)
Source: RNAcentral
AGUCUGUAGCAAACAAGGCAACCCACAGUCUUUGAUAGGGUCAAGAAGACUUCGCUGGCUCCAAUGGGGGAAGCCUCUUGAAUUGGGUACAGGAAAAAUGGUAAUAUAUGUGCCAAAAAAACCAAACUAAACCAAAACCUAAGAGGGCCUUCUGGUUCACCCCUUGGGUUUCUAAGAAGCUACACUUCCGUAAUUAGACCACUGUGGGGCAGAAGAGCUACAAAAAUUCCUCAGCAUGGCUGACUCCACCGCCCUCUGGGCGCUCAUCACUGCUGACUUGGUCUGCGACAGGCAGAGGAGGCUCAGGUGCCUCGUUUUCAGCUCCCACCACCUCCUCCCAGCCACCCGAUCCAGAGAGAGAAAAUCAAGAUGCAGCAACUGGGGAAUCCAAAAAAAUGGUUACAACAGCUAAGAGGUCUAGUGCUACAGGCCAGGGUGCUCGCUCCCAGUCUUCCAAAGGGCAAAGAAGGGGCCAGGUGGGGAGAGCAGAUAGUUACAGCUGCCUGACCGAAGACCGAAAAAAAGUUGGAGGGAAGUGGAUAAGUCUGGGAGAGUUUCUUUUCCAAGUCAGAGGAAAGGGUGGAUGUCUCUGAAGAGUUCCCAGUCUUUAAUAAGGCCACUCAGCCCCAGGGUGCCUGCCUACACCAAUGAGGAGAAGGCAAGGGGACCUUGCAAGGCUAAAGCCUGAAGGCAUCCAGGCCAACAGGAUGCUGCAGGUGAGAGGUGUUCCUUGGGGCAGGGGAGAUGAGGUGAGCUCAGCAGUGAGGCUGGGAGACAAGCAGAGAUCAGGCAUCAUGGCCAUCUUCCCCACAGCAGAUGUGAGUGUGAAACAAGACCUUAACAAAAGAUGCAGUCCUACCUACAACCCAGUGCACGAGAGACUGGGGCACGGGGACUCCUGUUACAAAACACAACAACAACUCCUCAAACCAAUCCCUCCAACAACAACAACAACCAGUAACAGCAACAAGGAA